This 764-nucleotide ribosomal RNA is filed under the name uncultured Streptococcus sp. Its description in RNAcentral is "bacterial SSU rRNA". It matches the Rfam family "Bacterial small subunit ribosomal RNA", at positions 28 to 776 of the family's 1533-position model. The record is from RNAcentral. Lineage: Bacteria; Bacillati; Bacillota; Bacilli; Lactobacillales; Streptococcaceae.
GACGAACGCUGGCAGCGUGCCUAAUACAUGCAAGUAGAACGCUGAAGGAGGAGCUUGCUUCUCUGGAUGAGUUGCGAACGGGUGAGUAACGCGUAGGUAACCUGCCUGGUAGCGGGGGAUAACUAUUGGAAACGAUAGCUAAUACCGCAUAAGAGUAGAUGUUGCAUGACAUUUGCUUAAAAGGUGCAAUUGCAUCACUACCAGAUGGACCUGCGUUGUAUUAGCUAGUUGGUGGGGUAACGGCUCACCAAGGCGACGAUACAUAGCCGACCUGAGAGGGUGAUCGGCCACACUGGGACUGAGACACGGCCCAGACUCCUACGGGAGGCAGCAGUAGGGAAUCUUCGGCAAUGGACGGAAGUCUGACCGAGCAACGCCGCGUGAGUGAAGAAGGUUUUCGGAUCGUAAAGCUCUGUUGUAAGAGAAGAACGAGUGUGAGAGUGGAAAGUUCACACUGUGACGGUAUCUUACCAGAAAGGGACGGCUAACUACGUGCCAGCAGCCGCGGUAAUACGUAGGUGGCAAGCGUUAUCCGGAUUUAUUGGGCGUAAAGAGAGUGCAGGCGGUUUUCUAAGUCUGAUGUGAAAGCCUUCGGCUUAACCGGAGAAGUGCAUCGGAAACUGGAUAACUUGAGUGCAGAAGAGGGUAGUGGAGCUCCAUGUGUAGCGGUGGAAUGCGUAGAUAUAUGGAAGAACACCAGUGGCGAAGGCGGCUACCUGGUCUGCAACUGACGCUGAGACUCGAAAGCAUGGGUAGCGAACAGG